UCCAGGGAUGUGGAUGUGAACUGCGGUCA
This 29-nucleotide non-coding RNA is filed under the name Homo sapiens (human). Lineage: Eukaryota; Metazoa; Chordata; Mammalia; Primates; Hominidae. The record is from RNAcentral.